Anarrhichthys ocellatus (wolf-eel) is the source of this 5284-nucleotide RNA transcript. It is a transcript of the gene named disintegrin and metalloproteinase domain-containing protein 11-like, with no coding region annotated. The transcript is spliced from 25 exons. The record is from RefSeq and is a predicted model, not a curated record. Lineage: Eukaryota; Metazoa; Chordata; Actinopteri; Perciformes; Anarhichadidae.
GCAUACUGCAGAUUCACAUAUAGGCUAUAGCCUGCACGUAUAACCUCAACCAUUCACAUAAACGCACCCGCGCAGCCUUACGGAGCUAUGCUCCUCACUAUUCCCUCACUGAUCGAUCUAUUAGCCUGCAUUGAUCAUCUCCGUAGCGGGCCUGGGUUGUGAUUCAUUUUUCAUAAUUUUGAUAUGCUAAUCCAAAUUUUCAACAGCGGCAUUUGCUGGAGCUGAGAGAGAGAGAGAGAGAGAGAGAGAAGAGGGGAGAGAGAAGAGGGGAGAGAGAGAGAGAGAGAGAGAGAGAGAGAGAGAGAACGCGCAUCAUCAGAUGUUUAGCAGAUCCACUUUCGCUCCUCGCCAUCGUCUCUGCUGUGCGAUUUUUCGAUCUUUUUCUUUCCCUCGGUCGGCCGGGUUUGUGACAUUAUGCGGCUCUCGAUGUUGUAAUCCGGGAGAAUAUGUGAAGAUCAUGCUGGCGGUGUGGUGCUUCAUUGUCUGUGCUGCAGUGGGGGAGAGGCUUGCGGUCUCAGGUGUGGACAGUAGCCCGGCACCGGAUGGAGGCAUCUGGGACUGGUUUACCCCGACAGGGCAGCCGGACAGCGGGGACACUGCCCCCAAGGUCACCUAUCCUAAGCGGCUGGUGCAGCAGAUUCAGUCGGAGGAAGAAAUGGCUCAUGACCACUUGGAUACCAGGGUGAAGAACAGCACCGGGAACACCUUGGCCGUCCACUUGGCCCAGAGCUGUUUCCAAGUGGAAGCCUUUGGACACACCUUCACUCUGGACCUGGAGCUAAACCAUCACCUCCUGUCUUCAGAAUAUGUGGAGCGGCACUUUAACCACAAUGGCAGACCCUCACAGUCUGUGGGAGGGGAGCACUGCUACUACCAGGGACGGUUAAGAGGUUUACCAGAGUCCUGGGCAGCUCUCUCCACCUGCCACGGCCUGUGCGGCAUGUUCUCUGACGGCUUCUUCUCUUACGGGAUUGAGCCUGUUCACAAUGGCAGCAAACAGGAUGGUGGCGCUCACUUAAUCCGCAGAAUGUCCGAUAUCAGACUUUCCCCCCACUGCCCAGACUGUACAGAGGACGAUGAGUGGGAUAUCAGAGGAGGUGAUGGUGAUGACGACAGACCGGACCAAAUGAGGGAGCAGCAGCAGCAGGGGUCUGGGGGGCUGAGGCGAUCCAAGAGAUAUGUUCGCAAACCCUCUGUCCAGACUGAGACCAAAUAUAUUGAGUUGAUGGUGGUCAACGACAAUGAAAUGUUUGUGCUGCGUCGCUCCAACAGCCAAACCAAGAACUUUGCCAAAGCAGUGGUCAACAUGGCAGACGCGAUCUACAAGGAACAGUUGAACACGAGGAUUGUGCUGGUUGCUCUGGAGACCUGGACCUCUAAAAAUAUGAUGCCAGUAGUAGAAGAUCCAUUGAUAACGCUGCAGAACUUCAUGAAGUACAGGAAGGACAACAUCAAAGAUCAGAGCGACGUUGUCCAUCUUUUCUCAGGGCGUACAUUUCACAGCAGCCGCAGUGGGACGGCCUACACAGGAGGAGUGUGCUCUCUCACGAGGGGAGGAGGCAUCAACGAGUAUGGGAAUGUAGGAGCAAUGGCCAUCACUUUGUGCCAGAGUCUGGGCCAGAAUAUCGGCAUGAGGUGGAACAACGUCCGCAACUCUGCAGGAGACUGCAGGUGUCCAGACGCCUGGCUAGGCUGCAUCAUGGAAGACACGGGAUACUAUCUGCCCAGAAAGUUUUCUCGCUGCAGUGUUGAUGAGUACAUCCAGUUCUUGCUCCAAGGGGGCGGGAGCUGCCUCUUCAACAAGCCAAACAAGCUGUUGGACCCUCCAGAGUGUGGGAAUGGCUUUGUGGAGCCAGGGGAAGAGUGUGAUUGUGGAUCCCAAGUGGAGUGCGCCCGUAGUGGAGGAGCCUGCUGUAAAAAGUGCACACUUACCCACGAUGCCAUGUGCAGUAACGGACUCUGCUGCAGUAGCUGCAAGUAUGAGCGGAGAGGCGUGGUAUGUCGAGAGACUGUGAACGACUGUGAUAUCCCAGAGAGCUGCACCGGAGACUCCAGCCAGUGUCCACAUAACGUGCACAGGCUAGAUGGCUACAUGUGUGAUACUAAUCAGGGUCGCUGUUACGGUGGACGAUGCAGGACUCGUGAUGGACAGUGUAGGGGACUCUGGGGUUAUAAUUCAGCAGACAGGUUUUGUUAUGAGAAGCUGAACGCUGAGGGGACAGAGAAAGGCAACUGUGGUCCGGGUCCUGAAGGCCAAGGAUGGCUGCAGUGCAACAAGCAGGAUGUUUUAUGUGGCUUCCUGUUCUGUGCCAAUGUGACGAUGAAACCAAAGUUUGGAGACCUGCAGGGUGAGGUGACCAGCUUCACCCUCUACCACCAGAACAAAUACCUGGACUGCAGAGGCGGCCAUGCUCUGCUGGAGGAUGGUUCAGACCUGGGCUAUGUGGAGGAGGGCACUCCUUGUGGGCCCAACAUGAUGUGUUUGGAGCGACGCUGCCUCCCUGUGGUGGCGUUCAAUCUCAGCACCUGUUCCGGAUCCAACUAUGGGCGCAUUUGUUCUGACCAUGGGACGUGCAGUAACGAGGUGAAGUGUAUCUGUGACAGGGACUACACGGGGAAGGACUGCAGUGUCUAUGAUCCCAUCCCUGAGCCAACAGUCCCGACUGGCCCAGAGAAGAAAGGUCCACAGCGCCUUUCAACCUGCACAUGUCUCUCUUUCUGUCUGCCUCUCAUAUUCCCCUCAUACUCUCUGCCCAUCAUCACUGUCUCCAUGUACUGAUGUGGAGCACAGCAUCUUGCCCUCAAACACAAAGAGUAGUUCACCUGGUUUUUGUGAGAUAUUAAGUACACACAGUGUUUAACUUCCUGCUGAGUCUUGGUUUCAAUAUUGGAAGAGUGUGGGUGUGUGUUGAGACACGUUUACUCAUUAGAGCAUGUGUGCAGUAUGUUAGUGUAUGUGUAUGUGUACCUUACACAGUACUGUAUAUAUUGCAGUCACUGCCAUCUUCAAGUGUCUUCCUUACUUUCUUGCAGUCUGCCAAUGACACAGAGCAAUUGAGCUGCUGCACUCAUAGGGCCAAAAAAAGCCACCCUGAGCAAGAGGGUGUCCAGCUGAAAGAGCAGGAGAGUGGGAAUGAGAACAAAGUAAUACAACUCUCUCUCCUUUGUUUUUGUUUUUUUACUGUUGUCUCCCUGACCUUCCUCGCUCACCCGCCCGUUGUCCCAACUCCACCCCACGUGCUGGUAACGUCCUCCUUCGCUUCAUCUCUAUUUCUCUGUCUGCAGGAACAUUCGGAGAGGAAGAUCUGGUGGUGGAUAAGAUGUCUGUCUGUCUUUCUGUAUCUCUGGCCUGUCUACUCCUGUAUUCCUCCACCGUUUACACAUCAGAGAAGAGGGGAACAAAAAAAAAAAUAAGUCUUCCACUCCUGUCCCAAAAUUUCUCCAAACCUCUUCCGAUUAUCGUUUCCUCCACGUCCCCGUCUGCUCCUAUCGUCUGUCCUCCUGCCUGGCUCCGUCCUCCUCUGGGCUCGUGGAGCUCCUCUCACCAUACCAGCCGUAUCACACUUGUGUGGCUGCUUCCGGCAGGCAGCUGAGGACUGUGUCCAGGACACGCCCGUAGCGAGCAUCUGGCUCAACCUGUGGGAGACACCAGGGUCUUCCUCCAGUCCGGUGGCUCUGAGAAUGUGAUUCGGUGUCUGUGUACCUCCUUUACUGUCAUCUUGAACUGUCUGAUGAAGAACAUAUCAACCGUGGACCAAUUUAAUACGAGACAUGUCUUUCCAAUGCCUGCCUUCCUGCCUGCAUACAAACUAAGCCGGCCACCAACUUAGUCCACGGGUAAAUGUUGCACUAGCACACAGCCUGGCCAUUUAACAGACUGAAAUAACGUAACAGGAGUGGAAUAGUUUCCUUUUUUCUUAAAGGAGAAGGACCAAGGCCAGGCUUUGGAAAAGUGGACAGUUAUCUGUUUUAAUCUACAAAGUUUGGCAACAUGGACAACUAAAAAGAAACCGUACAUUGGACUGUUGUUAGCAUGUUUUCCAAAGAGUCUGAGGAAGGACUAGCGAUCAUAUAAACGAUGGCUCAAAAACCAGUCAGCCAUUAGCCAGAGCCCUGCCUGAUAACUGAGUUUAUGUUCAAUGUCAUUUGUCCUUUUAACAUGAGGCAUCCUACUUGCCCCCCUAAGGUUUCAGGUACUAAAAAGGGAAGCUAGGUGUUAUGGUUUUGGGAUCAUUGUGAACCACUGAACUGUUAGAGCAGCAGAGACCGUAACUUAGUGUUUUCAACCACAGACUGACCAACAUACAUUCCACAAUAUCUGUCUGUGUGCGUGCGCUCACCACUUUUAGGCCAAAUGUUUGUACGCUUGUGAGGUUUAUUCUGUACGUCUGUUCACGGGUGAAUGUAAGCGUGUCAGAGAUUUUUAAAAAGAAGAAGAAUGUGUGCGUGUCAGGGGCAGUUGUGUCCAUGUACAUUAAUAACACAGAACUCCUAUCGCAGGUAGGAUGGCAGGUUUUUACCUCUAGAAUAUCAUCUCUUUCUACAAACUGUUGUGCGCUGCAGCCAUGACGCCACUAUAAUGCAGCACAUUAAUAAAUAAUGAAACGGUUUUAAUGUCAUGUAUCUACAAAAAAACGAGCACUAGCCAACUGUAUGCACACCUAUUUGUAAAUAUGUGCAAGAUAUACUGAAUGUUAAAUGCACUGUAUGGAGAUUUAUUUAAAAGCUGUGUUAAAAUAAUGAGUUGUAUCCGUUGCAAACAUAUAGCCGUCAGUCUCUCGACAGGAUCUGCAAAUCUCUCCUGUCGUCAACGCUGUCCAUGCGUCUUUAAAUGUGGCGUAACAGCUAAGCUAGCUGUCUCGCAUCUCUCUUAUCAUUCCAGCCAUCGCUUAAAUGUCAUGAAUCUUUUGUACAUUUGUUGAUAGCUCUGAGCCCUGGGUGAACUCCUCAGCCCAGGGGCUUUUUAAUGUAAAUGAGAUUAAAGAGAUCUAGUCUGAGGUCCAGGAGGCAGCUUGUCUGAAACUGUAUGUGUGUAAGAGGUCAGUUUGGUUCAGUUGAGCUUUGCACUAUUGUUAUUAUUACAAUAUGUACAGAGUUGGUAACAAAUACAAUCUGUUCGAUGAAGUUUAUGGGGAAAAAAAAAAUAAAGAUGCAAAGUAUCCCAUAUUUUUGACACUUUUUAAAUUGAGACAAAAAAAGAGGAAUUAACUAAGCCUUGUAGUUGAUUUGAAAUGGAAAGAAAAUGAAAUACUUAAAAAAUAAAUCACACCGACUACUUUCGCUA